UGUUAACCCCUCAAAAAUGUUAUGGAAAACAUGGAGGGACACAAAAUUGGAAUAAUGGUUCUUCUUUUCUGCGGUACAAUUCUAUUGGGAGUUAAUCCGACAAAUGCUGCGAAACUUUGCCCAGAUAUUUGCUUGGACUAUGCGUAUAUGACCUGCCCAUCAUCAGGGAAUCAGAAGCUUGAUCCGGCCUGCAACUGCUGUUUUGCUCCAGGCUGCACCCUCUACCUCUCUGAUGGAACUUCUACUUACUGUAAUUGAUGGAACAGACGAUUCACACGCUCUUUACAAUCUCCAAUAUGCUUGCAAAUAAUGAGAUUGGAUGUGUGGCAAAAAUAAAUAAUAAAAAUAAAACAAGUGAGACUUAUUGUCUCUAUGGUCUAAUAUAUAUAUGCGCAUUUAUCCUCUUCUUUUUCUUUGUGGGUUUUCAAAGAGCAUGUACUAUUGCUAAAUAAACAAAGAAGCCAGAAAACAGACCCAGCAGUUGACACAAGAACAAAAAAACAACACAAUAGAGAUUCCAUUUAGCUUUAUUGCAAAUUCGAGCUAGUAGAGGUUUUAACUGUCAUAGGAAGAUCUCUAUCAAACAACACCCUCGAAAUUGGAUUUACAAGCCCAGUUUUGGCAAUAUCAUUUAAUACCAACCACCAGAAUUCUUA
Molecule: long non-coding RNA, 656 nt
Organism: Quercus lobata
Lineage: Eukaryota; Viridiplantae; Streptophyta; Magnoliopsida; Fagales; Fagaceae
Exons: 2
Source: RefSeq, a predicted model, not a curated record